Molecule: ribosomal RNA, 406 nt
Filed under: uncultured bacterium
Lineage: Bacteria
Description: bacterial SSU rRNA
Rfam family: Bacterial small subunit ribosomal RNA
Source: RNAcentral
AGAGUUUGAUCCUGGCUCAGAGCGAACGCUGGCGGCAGGCUUAACACAUGCAAGUCGAACGGACCCUUCGGGGUUAGUGGCGGACGGGUGAGUAACACGUGGGAACGUGCCUUUAGGUUCGGAACAACACAGGGAAACUUGUGCUAAUACCGGAUGUGCCCUUCGGGGGAAAGAUUUAUCGCCUUUAGAGCGGCCCGCGUCUGAUUAGCUAGUUGGUAGGGUAAAGGCCUGCCAAGGCUACGAUCAGUAGCUGGUCUGAGAGGAUGGCCAGCCACAUUGGGACUGAGACACGGCCCAAACUCCUACGGGAGGCAGCAGUGGGGAAUCUUGCGCAAUGGGCGAAAGCCUGACGCAGCCUUGCCGCGUGGAUGAUGAAGGUCUUAGGAUUGUAAAAUCCUUCAGCGGG